RNAcentral lists this ribosomal RNA (254 nucleotides) under uncultured bacterium. RNAcentral's name for it is "partial 16S ribosomal RNA". It matches the Rfam family "Bacterial small subunit ribosomal RNA", at positions 524 to 776 of the family's 1533-position model. The record is from RNAcentral.
UACGUAGGGGGCAAGCGUUGUCCGGAUUUAUUGGGCGUAAAGAGCGUGUAGGCGGUCAGGUAGGUCCGUUGUGAAAACUCGAGGCUCAACCUCGAGACGCCGAUGGAAACCAUCUGACUAGAGUCCGGAAGAGGAGAGUGGAAUUCCUGGUGUAGCGGUGAAAUGCGCAGAUAUCAGGAGGAACACCGGUGGCGAAGGCGGGUCUCGUGGGCCGAUACUGACGCUGAGGAGCGAAAGCGUGGGGAGCGAACAGG